UGCUGACCCUGAGCGGCCCCCUGGAGC
Molecule: non-coding RNA, 27 nt
Filed under: Homo sapiens (human)
Lineage: Eukaryota; Metazoa; Chordata; Mammalia; Primates; Hominidae
Source: RNAcentral